Molecule: ribosomal RNA, 778 nt
Filed under: uncultured bacterium
Lineage: Bacteria
Description: bacterial SSU rRNA
Rfam family: Bacterial small subunit ribosomal RNA
Source: RNAcentral
CAUCGGCCAAUCGCCUUAAGUUGAUCAUGGCUCAGAAUCAACGCUGGCGGCGUGCCUAACACAUGCAAGUCGAACGGGAAGGGGGGCUUCGGCUCCCCGGAGAGUGGCGUACGGGUGAGUAACACGUGGGUAAUCUGCCUUCGGGUGGGGAAUAACGAUCCGAAAGGGUCGCUAAUACCGCAUAACGCAGCGGCACCGCAUGGUGACAGUUGUUAAAGGGGGGGAUCUUCGGACCUCCUGCCUGAAGAGGAGCCCGCGCCCGAUUAGCUAGUUGGUGAGGUAACGGCUCACCAAGGCUUCGAUCGGUAGCCGGCCUGAGAGGGCGGUCGGCCACACUGGCACUGAGACACGGGCCAGACUCCUACGGGAGGCAGCAGUGGGGAAUUUUGGGCAAUGGGCGCAAGCCUGACCCAGCAACGCCGCGUGAAGGACGAAAUCCCUCUGGGAUGUAAACUUCGAAAGUCAGGAAAGAAAUCCUCACGGGGAAUAUCCGUGAGGGAUGACGGUACCUGACGUAAGCCCCGGCUAACUACGUGCCAGCAGCCGCGGUAAUACGUAGGGGGCAAGCGUUGUUCGGAAUUACUGGGCGUAAAGGGCGCGUAGGCGGCACGGCAAGUCAGGAGUGAAAGGCCUGGGCUCAACCGAGGAACUGCUUUUGAGACUGCCGAGCUAGAGUGCGGAAGGGGCAACCGGAAUUCCCAGUGUAGCGGUGAAAUGCGUAGAUAUUGGGAAAGACACCUGANGCGAAGGCNGGUUGCUGGGNCGACACUGACGCUGA